RNAcentral lists this ribosomal RNA (2906 nucleotides) under Enterobacter hormaechei. RNAcentral describes it as "23S ribosomal RNA". It matches the Rfam family "Bacterial large subunit ribosomal RNA". The record is from RNAcentral. Lineage: Bacteria; Pseudomonadati; Pseudomonadota; Gammaproteobacteria; Enterobacterales; Enterobacteriaceae.
GGUUAAGCGACUAAGCGUACACGGUGGAUGCCCUGGCAGUCAGAGGCGAUGAAGGACGUGCUAAUCUGCGAAAAGCGCCGGCGAGGUGAUAUGAACCUUUGACCCGGCGAUGUCCGAAUGGGGAAACCCAGUGCAAUCCGUUGCACUAUCGUUAACUGAAUACAUAGGUUAACGAGGCGAACCGGGGGAACUGAAACAUCUAAGUACCCCGAGGAAAAGAAAUCAACCGAGAUUCCCCCAGUAGCGGCGAGCGAACGGGGAGCAGCCCGGAGUCUGAAUCAGCUUGUGUGUUAGUGGAACGGUCUGGAAAGUCCGACGGUACAGGGUGAUAGUCCCGUACACGAAAGCACACUUGCUGUGAACUCGAAGAGUAGGGCGGGACACGUGGUAUCCUGUCUGAAUAUGGGGGGACCAUCCUCCAAGGCUAAAUACUCCUGACUGACCGAUAGUGAACCAGUACCGUGAGGGAAAGGCGAAAAGAACCCCGGCGAGGGGAGUGAAAAAGAACCUGAAACCGUGUACGUACAAGCAGUGGGAGCCUCUUUAUGGGGUGACUGCGUACCUUUUGUAUAAUGGGUCAGCGACUUAUAUUCUGUAGCAAGGUUAACCGUAUAGGGGAGCCGAAGGGAAACCGAGUCUUAACUGGGCGUUAAGUUGCAGGGUAUAGACCCGAAACCCGGUGAUCUAGCCAUGGGCAGGUUGAAGGUUGGGUAACACUAACUGGAGGACCGAACCGACUAAUGUUGAAAAAUUAGCGGAUGACCUGUGGCUGGGGGUGAAAGGCCAAUCAAACCGGGAGAUAGCUGGUUCUCCCCGAAAGCUAUUUAGGUAGCGCCUCGUGAACUCAUCUUCGGGGGUAGAGCACUGUUUCGGCUAGGGGGCCAUCCCGGCUUACCAACCCGAUGCAAACUACGAAUACCGAAGAAUGUUAUCACGGGAGACACACGGCGGGUGCUAACGUCCGUCGUGAAGAGGGAAACAACCCAGACCGCCAGCUAAGGUCCCAAAGUCAUGGUUAAGUGGGAAACGAUGUGGGAAGGCACAGACAGCCAGGAUGUUGGCUUAGAAGCAGCCAUCAUUUAAAGAAAGCGUAAUAGCUCACUGGUCGAGUCGGCCUGCGCGGAAGAUGUAACGGGGCUAAACCAUGCACCGAAGCUGCGGCAGCGACGCUUAUGCGUUGUUGGGUAGGGGAGCGUUCUGUAAGCCGUCGAAGGUGUCCUGUGAGGGGUGCUGGAGGUAUCAGAAGUGCGAAUGCUGACAUAAGUAACGAUAAAGCGGGUGAAAAGCCCGCUCGCCGGAAGACCAAGGGUUCCUGUCCAACGUUAAUCGGGGCAGGGUGAGUCGACCCCUAAGGCGAGGCCGAAAGGCGUAGUCGAUGGGAAACAGGUUAAUAUUCCUGUACUUGGUGUUACUGCGAAGGGGGGACGGAGAAGGCUAUGUCAGCCGGGCGACGGUUGUCCCGGUUUAAGCAUGUAGGCGGAGGUUCCAGGUAAAUCCGGUACCUUGUUAACGCUGAGGUGUGAUGACGAGGCACUACGGUGCUGAAGUGAUAAAUGCCCUGCUUCCAGGAAAAGCCUCUAAGCAUCAGGUAACACGAAAUCGUACCCCAAACCGACACAGGUGGUCAGGUAGAGAAUACCAAGGCGCUUGAGAGAACUCGGGUGAAGGAACUAGGCAAAAUGGUGCCGUAACUUCGGGAGAAGGCACGCUGAUAUGUAGGUGAAGUCCCUGCGGACGGAGCUGAAAUCAGUCGAAGAUACCAGCUGGCUGCAACUGUUUAUUAAAAACACAGCACUGUGCAAACACGAAAGUGGACGUAUACGGUGUGACGCCUGCCCGGUGCCGGAAGGUUAAUUGAUGGGGUUAGCGGCAACGCGAAGCUCUUGAUCGAAGCCCCGGUAAACGGCGGCCGUAACUAUAACGGUCCUAAGGUAGCGAAAUUCCUUGUCGGGUAAGUUCCGACCUGCACGAAUGGCGUAAUGAUGGCCAGGCUGUCUCCACCCGAGACUCAGUGAAAUUGAACUCGCUGUGAAGAUGCAGUGUACCCGCGGCAAGACGGAAAGACCCCGUGAACCUUUACUAUAGCUUGACACUGAACACUGGUCCUUGAUGUGUAGGAUAGGUGGGAGGCUUUGAAGCGUGGACGCCAGUCUGCGUGGAGCCAACCUUGAAAUACCACCCUUUAAUGGCUGGUGUUCUAACGUAGACCCGUAAUCCGGGUUGCGGACAGUGUCUGGUGGGUAGUUUGACUGGGGCGGUCUCCUCCCAAAGAGUAACGGAGGAGCACGAAGGUUGGCUAAUCCUGGUCGGACAUCAGGAGGUUAGUGCAAUGGCAUAAGCCAGCUUGACUGCGAGCGUGACGGCGCGAGCAGGUGCGAAAGCAGGUCAUAGUGAUCCGGUGGUUCUGAAUGGAAGGGCCAUCGCUCAACGGAUAAAAGGUACUCCGGGGAUAACAGGCUGAUACCGCCCAAGAGUUCAUAUCGACGGCGGUGUUUGGCACCUCGAUGUCGGCUCAUCACAUCCUGGGGCUGAAGUAGGUCCCAAGGGUAUGGCUGUUCGCCAUUUAAAGUGGUACGCGAGCUGGGUUUAGAACGUCGUGAGACAGUUCGGUCCCUAUCUGCCGUGGGCGCUGGAGAAUUGAGGGGGGCUGCUCCUAGUACGAGAGGACCGGAGUGGACGCAUCACUGGUGUUCGGGUUGUCAUGCCAAUGGCACUGCCCGGUAGCUAAAUGCGGAAAAGAUAAGUGCUGAAAGCAUCUAAGCACGAAACUUGCCCCGAGAUGAGUUCUCCCUGAGACUUUAAGUCUCCUGAAGGAACGUUGAAGACUACGACGUUGAUAGGUCGGGUGUGUAAGCGCAGCGAUGCGUUGAGCUAACCGAUACUAAUGAACCGUGAGGCUUAACCUU